AUUUUAAAUUGCCCCCGUUGCUGGUCUUAGCCUGUGGGGAGCCAGACCAGCUCGCGAUUGAGGCUGGGACCAUUACUACCAGUACGAGUGGACCCGCGGGGCACAAGCCUUCCUGUGUUGAACGGAGGACGUACCAGUGGCCCUGGGACCUUAGGUGGUGGGUCGUUUUCACACUUUCUUUUGUACAGCACCGGGUGGGCUGCAGUGAUUUUCGUUUUGUGUGAUUUUCUUUUGGGUCCACGGCUGCUGGUAAGUCCAAGUUCCAUGAUUGUUUUAUUUUCACGUUAAGACACUGUCAACAAUGACGCUACAUUUUGGUUUCUAAUAUUUUAUUUAUUUUUAUUAUAAAUAAACUGUUUUAAUAUUGGAGCCAA
Oreochromis niloticus (Nile tilapia) is the source of this 374-nucleotide long non-coding RNA. RefSeq lists it as uncharacterized. NCBI's taxonomy places the organism in Eukaryota, Metazoa, Chordata, Actinopteri, Cichliformes, Cichlidae. The transcript is spliced from 2 exons. The record is from RefSeq and is a predicted model, not a curated record.